Molecule: ribosomal RNA, 497 nt
Filed under: uncultured bacterium
Lineage: Bacteria
Description: partial 16S ribosomal RNA
Rfam family: Bacterial small subunit ribosomal RNA
Source: RNAcentral
GAUGAACGCUGGCGGCGUGCCUAAUACAUGCAAGUCGAGCGAACGGACGCGACGUUUGCUUCUCUGUUGUUAGCGGCGCACGGGUGUGUCACAUGUGGAUCACCUACCUAUCAUACUGGGAACACUUCGGAACACCGGCUAUAACACCGGAGGAUCUUUUGCUCCGCGUGGGUCAAAGGAGAAAUACGGUCUUGCUGGCUCUUAUCGAUGGAUCCGCGCUGCAUUAGCUAGUUGUUAAGUUACUGGCUUUCGAAGGCAACGAGGCAUGGCCGACCGGCGUGGGUGAUCGGCGGCCUUGGAACGGGAACGCGGUCCUUACUCCUGCGGGAGGCAGCAGUAGGGAAUCGUACGCAAUGGGCGAAAGCCUGACGGAGCAACGCCGCGUGAGUGAUGAAGGUCUUCGGAUCGUAAAACUCUGUUAUGGGUGAAGAACAGAUGUGUAAGUAACUGUGCACAUCUUGACGGUACCUAAUCAGAAAGCCACGGCUAACUACGUG